AUCUGGAAGGCACGAAACGCAUGCGUCUUCAAUGGAGCUACUCCCUCCAUCCCGCUUAUCGUCAAUGACAUCAAAGAGGAAGCCCGUUGUUGGGCCGCCGUCGGAGCCAAGGGGCUCAGCAAUUUGCUCCUGCCUGCGUAG
This 141-nucleotide ribosomal RNA is filed under the name Triticum aestivum (bread wheat). RNAcentral describes it as "partial small subunit ribosomal RNA". The record is from RNAcentral. Lineage: Eukaryota; Viridiplantae; Streptophyta; Magnoliopsida; Poales; Poaceae.